RNAcentral lists this ribosomal RNA (253 nucleotides) under uncultured bacterium. RNAcentral's name for it is "partial 16S ribosomal RNA". It matches the Rfam family "Bacterial small subunit ribosomal RNA", at positions 524 to 776 of the family's 1533-position model. The record is from RNAcentral.
UACGUAGGGGGCAAGCGUUGUCCGGAAUUAUUGGGCGUAAAGAGCGUGUAGGCGGCCCGAUUAGUCCGCUGUGAAAGUCCAGGGCUCAACCCUGGAAUGCCGGUGGAUACUGUCGGGCUAGAGUCCGGAAGGGGCGAGUGGAAUUCCUGGUGUAGCGGUGAAAUGCGCAGAUAUCAGGAGGAACACCAAUGGCGAAGGCAGCUCGCUGGGACGUGACUGACGCUGAGACGCGAAAGCGUGGGGAGCAAACAGG